RNAcentral lists this ribosomal RNA (253 nucleotides) under uncultured bacterium. RNAcentral's name for it is "partial 16S ribosomal RNA". It matches the Rfam family "Bacterial small subunit ribosomal RNA", at positions 524 to 776 of the family's 1533-position model. The record is from RNAcentral.
UACGUAGGGUGCAGGCGUUAAUCGGAAUUACUGGGCGUAAGGCGUGCGCAGGCGGUUUGCUAAGACAGGUGUGAAAUCCCCGGGCUUAACCUGGGAACUGCGCUUGUAACUGGCAAGCUAGAGUGUGGCAGAGGGGGGUGGAAUUCACGGUGUAGCAGUGAAAUGCGUAGAGAUCGUGAGGAAGACCAGUGGCGAAGGCGGGUCUCUGGACAGUUCCUGACACUGAGGCACGAAGGCCAGGGGAGCAAACGGG